AUACGUAGGGGACGAGCGUUGUCCGGAAUUACUGGGCGUGAAGGGCGCGCAGGCGGAUAUUUAAGUCAGCUGUAAAAGGCAUGAGCUCAACUCAUGUAUGCGGUUGAAACUGGGUAUCUAGAGUGCUGGAGAGGUAGGCGGAAUUCCCGGUGUAGCGGUGAAAUGCGUAGAUAUCGGGAAGAACACCAGUGGCGAAGGCGGCUUACUGGCCAGCAACUGACUCUGAGGCGCGAAAGCCAGGGGAGCGAACGGGAUUAGAUGCCCCGGUAGUCCUGGCCGUAAACGAUGAAUGCUAGGUGUUGGUGUCGAGAGGCAUCCGUGCCGGAGUUAACGCGAUAAGCAUUCCGCCUGGGGAGUACGAUCGCAAGAUUGAAACUUAAAGGAAUUGACGGGG
Molecule: ribosomal RNA, 394 nt
Filed under: uncultured bacterium
Lineage: Bacteria
Description: partial 16S ribosomal RNA
Rfam family: Bacterial small subunit ribosomal RNA
Source: RNAcentral